Molecule: ribosomal RNA, 505 nt
Filed under: uncultured bacterium
Lineage: Bacteria
Description: partial 16S ribosomal RNA
Rfam family: Bacterial small subunit ribosomal RNA
Source: RNAcentral
GACGAACGCUGGCGGCGUGCCUAAUACAUGCAAGUAGAACGCACAGUUUAUACCGUAGCUUGCUACACCAUAGACUGUGAGUUGCGAACGGGUGAGUAACGCGUAGGUAACCUGCCUAGUAGCGGGGGAUAACUAUUGGAAACGAUAGCUAAUACCGCAUAAUAUUGAUUAUUGCAUGAUAAUUGAUUGAAAGAUGCUAUUGCAUCACUACCAGAUGGACCUGCGUUGUAUUAGCUAGUAGGUGAGGUAACGGCUCACCUAGGCGACGAUACAUAGCCGACCUGAGAGGGUGAUCGGCCACACUGGGACUGAGACACGGCCCAGACUCCUACGGGAGGCAGCAGUAGGGAAUCUUCGGCAAUGGACGAAAGUCUGACCGAGCAACGCCGCGUGAGUGAAGAAGGUUUUCGGAUCGUAAAGCUCUGUUGUAAGAGAAGAACGGGUGUGAGAGUGGAAAGUUCACACUGUGACGGUAUCUUACCAGAAAGGGACGGCUAACUACGUG